This 497-nucleotide ribosomal RNA is filed under the name uncultured bacterium. RNAcentral's name for it is "partial 16S ribosomal RNA". It matches the Rfam family "Bacterial small subunit ribosomal RNA", at positions 28 to 507 of the family's 1533-position model. The record is from RNAcentral.
GAUGAACGCUGGCGGCGUGCCUAAUACAUGCAAGUCGAGCGAACAGACGAGGAGCUUGCUCCUCUGACGUUAGCGGCGGACGGGUGAGUAACACGUGGAUAACCUACCUAUAAGACUGGGAUAACUUCGGGAAACCGGAGCUAAUACCGGAUAAUAUAUUGAACCGCAUGGUUCAAUAGUGAAAGACGGUUUUGCUGUCACUUAUAGAUGGAUCCGCGCCGCAUUAGCUAGUUGGGAAGGUAACGGCUUACCAAGGCAACGAUGCGUAGCCGACCUGAGAGGGUGAUCGGCCACACUGGAACUGAGACACGGUCCAGACUCCUGCGGGAGGCAGCAGUAGGGAAUCUUCCGCAAUGGGCGAAAGCCUGACGGAGCAACGCCGCGUGAGUGAUGAAGGUCUUCGGAUCGUAAAACUCUGUUAUUAGGGAAGAACAAAUGUGUAAGUAACUAUGCACGUCUUGACGGUACCUAAUCAGAAAGCCACGGCUAACUACGUG